GAUGAACGCUGGCGGCGUGCCUAAUACAUGCCAGUCGAGCGAACAGACGAGGAGCUUGCUCCUCUGACGUUAGCGGCGGACGGGUGAGUAACACGUGGAUAACCUACCUAUAAUACUGGGAUAACUUCGGGAAACCGGAGCUAAUACCGGAUAAUAUAUUGAACCGCAUGGUUCAAUAGUGAAAGACGGUUUUGCUGUCACUUAUAGAUGGAUCCGCGCCGCAUUAGCUAGUUGGUAAGGUAACGGCUUACCAAGGCAACGAUGCGUAGCCGACCUGAGAGGGUGGUCGGCCACACUGGAACUGAGACACGGUCCAGACUCCUACGGGAGGCAGCAGUAGGGAAUCUUCCGCAAUGGGCGAAAGCCUGACGGAGCAACGCCGCGUGAGUGAUGAAGGUCUUCGGAUCGUAAAACUCUGUUAUUAGGGAAGAACAAAUGUGUAAGUAACUAUGCACGUAUUGACGGUACCUAAUCAGAAAGCCACGGCUAACUACGUG
Molecule: ribosomal RNA, 497 nt
Filed under: uncultured bacterium
Lineage: Bacteria
Description: partial 16S ribosomal RNA
Rfam family: Bacterial small subunit ribosomal RNA
Source: RNAcentral